GCAUUGGUGGUUCAGUGGUAGAAUUCUAGCUUGCCAUGUUGGAGGCCUGGGUUCCAUUCUCAGCCAAUGCA
RNAcentral lists this transfer RNA (71 nucleotides) under Ameiurus melas (black bullhead). It matches the Rfam family "tRNA". Rfam says of the family: Transfer RNA (tRNA) molecules are approximately 80 nucleotides in length. Lineage: Eukaryota; Metazoa; Chordata; Actinopteri; Siluriformes; Ictaluridae. The record is from Rfam by way of RNAcentral.